CCAAGAGACGAGAAGAAAAUCUCCAAUCUGACAGGGGACAACAAGAGCUGAGACACGAGGGACGACAGGCUCAGGACAAAUCACCUUGUCAUUCUGAUUCUGAUGAUUAGUGCUCUAUUCUGGAAUAUAAGGGGAGUAAGAUCAAAAAGGGCCAUUCACAGGCUAAAAAAUCUUGUCCAAUUAACAACAUUCAGUUUGUAGCCAUCUUUGAACCUUUUAUUGAUAAACAAAAGAUAGAGGGUUACAGAAAGUUUCUUUUGGUGUUUCUGGAGGAACAACAAUCAAGUUGAACUACUCUGGGAAGGUGAACAAUAUAUUUCUCUUAACAUGAAAAAGGCUAUAGGAAACCAAAAUAUUUUUAUGUCAGCUAUUUAUGCUAAGUGAACUGUAACUGAAAGAAAGAAUCUCUGGGAAAGCUUAGAAAAGGAUUAUCAGCGAGUUAAUGGUCCUUGAUGUAUCAGAGCGGAUUUCAAUGUUAUUUUGGACCCAAACGAGAAGUUAGGAGGCAAAUCUCACAUGAUGAGUAAAAGUUUGGAGCUCCAGAUUUGUAUGGAUGAUUGUGGUUUGACAGAUAUUGGAUAUUCAGGAUCUACUUAACAGAAGUCCCAAAAAGAGAAUUUGGAAAAGACUUGACCGAGUUUUUAUCAAUGAUCUUUGGGAUCUACACUUUCAUAACUGUACUGUUAGACACUUAGCAAGAACAUGCUCGGACCAUAGACCAUAGAACACUUUCAUUGGAGGACCUCUUGGUAUUAAUCAUUCUCAACUUUCAAUUUGACAUGUUAUGAAUUCCUGGUGGCUCCAAAAAACUAGUAACAAUGUACAUAAACUUGUUUUCCAUAUAACCCGCAUCAUUAUAUGUUGGGCUCUUUGGAAGGAAACUUGUUCUUGUAGAUAUGGCAAGCAGAAAAGGUUUAAUUGCUACAAAAUGGAGCAGUUGGUGGGAUGGACAGUUCAAGCAACAAUUUCUAGAACUUUCUCAGGAUGCAAAUUAGCUCUACCUUGGAGUGAUCUUUGUCAGAAUAUUAUCAAUUUGCAACCCACUCUUAGAAUCAACCUGGUGUGCUGGCAGAAGCCUGAUUCGGGGUACCUGAAAUUAAACACUGAUGGAAGCUUCAACACGAAUGAUGGCAGAGCAGGACUAGGAGGUGCACUGAGAUAUGAACGUGGGGAGCUUAUUAUGACAUUUUCUAUCGCUGUGCAGUGCUCUAGUCAUAACAUAGCAGAAGCUAAGGCAGCAUGGUUUGGAAGCAAAUGGUGUAAACAAAAUGGUUACACAAACAUCAUCAUGGAACUGGAUUCACUUUUGAUAAUCAACAUGCUUAAGAAAAAUAAGGCUAGUAGCUCAGGUUGAAGAGAAUCAUAGAAGCUACUUCUUCAAUUCUAGAUCUUGCGAGUAUCAAGUUUGAGCAUUGCUACAGAGAAGCCAAUCAACUUGCAGACUGGCUAACAAAGAUGGCGAUGAACUCUCAAACUAGAAACAUUUAUCUUUCGGCUCAACAACUUCCCCAGGCCGCAAAAUGACUUCUCUUUCUGGCAAAGAAGGCGAUGAACUCUCAAACUAGCAACAUUUAUCUUUCAGCUCAACAACUUCCCCAGGCCGCAAAAUGACUUUUCAUUCUGGAUAAGAGACAAGUCCCGAGUAUAAGGUCUAAAGUUGAUAAGGAAUUUUUUUUUUUGUUAGUUAGGCUUCUCUUUUUGCUGCAGUAUUGAUGGGCAAUAAGCUGACUUUUGUGUUGUUAGCCAAUUUUUUUGAUGGAUAGUUUCUAUCCAUGUGUUGUAUUUAAACUUUUGUUAUGAUAUACAACACCUCCAGUGCUACUGGUUAUUAUUUUUUUAUUUUAAAGGCUUAACUUAGAAUACAGGUUGUGUCUACUCUUUAUUUUUUUUUGGAAAAAAGUAAUAAAUUUCAACAGUAAAAGGAAAGGCAAUAACACACCCAUAUACAAGAAGUAUAUCAAAUGUAGACAACCUUACAAAAGAUACAUUUUUAUGAAUAAAUCCGAUCUUCUAUACAUGUAAGAAGCAAGAAACUUGUGAGUGCACAAAAAAUAAAUAAGGGAUGAGGAAAAUUCUUCUCUACUUCAUCAAAAACUUUGUCAACAUAAGUGAUAAAGGGGCGACAAUCUUAUGUUUUGCAUCUUUUUUCCGUCUUCUAAAAGUCCAGCUAAACAUUGUUUCGUUCACACUAUUAACUGGAAUAAUUGCCUCUGCUAUCCAAAGUCUGUAAUGUUCUUGAGCUCUUAGCUGCCUAUUCAGUCAGAAACCAUUUUAUUCACAACAAUACCUUUGGAGGUUGGAGCUGCUUGUGAAGACUUCCAUAAUAUAGAAGCACAGGCUACAAGACUGAUCAAAGAAGCAUAGAUUUUUUAAAGAUACAAAAAAGAUGGAGAUAUUCAAGGAAACAAUGCAACAAGUGUAAAAGCAAUAACUACAAAAUCCAUGCCUCAACAUCAUAUGUACAAUGUGUCCACGUUUUUAAGCUAAAAUGACAUGUUUUUGGUUGAUAAAUUAUUUUUAGACUUGAACUUUUCUUAUUCUUCAAAUUGUCACAUGCCUGAUAAUUAAGUAGCAAAAAUAUGGAAGAAGUACAAAUGAACCAAACUUACCUAGUAACAUAAAAUGUUGAACAUUAAUCACAUCCGAUGGCAAGAGUUCUGCCUGAACCUCCUUCAUUAGUUACAACUGUUAUGAUUGGAACUUUCAGCCCAAACAUGCCCUUAAAUUGUCAUGAAAAUAUUGGA
RNAcentral lists this long non-coding RNA (2744 nucleotides) under Solanum tuberosum (potato). RNAcentral describes it as "long non-coding RNA (STUB_LNC005001)". Lineage: Eukaryota; Viridiplantae; Streptophyta; Magnoliopsida; Solanales; Solanaceae. The record is from RNAcentral.